Oryzias melastigma (Indian medaka) is the source of this 254-nucleotide long non-coding RNA. RefSeq lists it as uncharacterized. Lineage: Eukaryota; Metazoa; Chordata; Actinopteri; Beloniformes; Adrianichthyidae. The transcript is spliced from 3 exons. The record is from RefSeq and is a predicted model, not a curated record.
UGUCUCCUGCAGGAUGAACCUUUUUAAGCUCCUCUUGUUGGUUGAGUUCUCAUUCAGUGUCUGACAAGAUGGGAGCUGAGUCAGUUUUGGUCCUUGUUGUUCUGGCUGUUUGCUUUGGCAAUGCUUUAGGUUUGCCAGUUGAGAGAAAAAGCCAGAAUGCUGAUAAUGAACUGCUGGGGACAGAAAAUGGAAUCUCUUCAAGUAACAGCCUUGGUCUCCUGCAGUCAAUGGGUUCUAGUGUCAAUGUUGAUGAA